This 119-nucleotide ribosomal RNA is filed under the name Lupinus angustifolius (narrow-leaved blue lupine). Lineage: Eukaryota; Viridiplantae; Streptophyta; Magnoliopsida; Fabales; Fabaceae. The record is from RNAcentral.
AGGUGCGAUCAUACCAUCGCUAAUGCACUGAAUCAUGUUAGAACUCUGUAGUUAAGCGUGCUUGGGCGAAAGUAGUCCGAGGAUGGGUGACCUCGUGGGAAGUCCUCGUGUUGUACCUC